UAUACGCUCGUCUCAAAGGUUAAGCCAUGCAUGUCUAAGUACAAACUGUCACCAAGUGAAACCGCAUAAGGCUCAGUAUAACAGCUAUAAUUCACGAGAUCGUCCACCCACCAGUUACUUGGAUAACUGUGGAAAAUCCAGAGCUAAUACAUGCGACAUGCCGGGACUGUGCGUGCGCCUCGUGCGCGCGUGCGGAACUGGUGCACUUAUUAGUUAAACCAUCCGCCCUCCGUGGCGAGUUGAGUUGAAGUCUGGAUAAGGAUGCCGAUCGUAUGGUCGCUCGCCGACCGACGACAGAUCUCUCGAAUGUCUGCCCUAUCAACUAUUGAUGGUAGUGUAGAGGACUACCAUGGUUGCGACGGGUAACGGGGAAUCAGGGUUCGAUUCCGGAGAGGGAGCCUGAGAAAUGGCUACCACAUCCAAGGAAGGCAGCAGGCGCGUAAAUUACCCAAUCCCGGCACGGGGAGGUAGUGACGAGAAAUAACAAUAUGGACCUCUCUAACGAUGGUCCAUAAUUGGAAUGAGUUGAGCAUAAAUCCUUCUGCAAGGAUCCAGUGGAGGGCAAGUCUGGUGCCAGCAGCCGCGGUAAUUCCAGCUCCACUAGCGUAUAUUAAAGUUGUUGCGGUUAAAACGUUCGAAGUUGAUUCUCCGUCCAGACUCGCGACCGCCGCGGGCUCCCGCCGGCGCACGGGCGUAUCUUUCGCGCUCGCGGCUGCGACUCACAAAUGUGUGCCCGGGCGUUCUACUCCGCGCGCGCGCGCCGGUUCCGCUCGCCGCGGGCCGCGCCGCCGUGUGGUGCCCGGGGUGCCCACGUUUACCUUGAACAAAUUAGAGUGCUCAAAGCGGGCUAGUAACAGGCGGCCCCCUCGACCGGGGGCCGUUAGCCAAGAAUAAUUUUGCAUGGAAUAAUGGAACAUGACCUCCGGUCUCCCCCUAUGUUUCGUUGGUUUGUCGCCAGACCCAGAGGUAAUGAUUAACAGAAGUAGUUGGGGGCAUUGGUAUUGCGGCGCGAGAGGUGAAAUUCGUAGACCGUCGCAGGACCGACUGAAGCGAAAGCGUUUGCCAUGGAUGCUUUCAUUGAUCAAGAACGAAAGUUAGAGGAUCGAAGGCGAUUAGAUACCGCCCUAGUUCUAACCGUAAACGAUGCCAAUCAGCAAUUGGGAGACGCUACUCUUACUCGGUGCUCUCAGUCGCUUCCGGAAACCACAAUCGGUUCCGGGGAAGUAUGGUUGCAAAGUUGAAACUUAAAGGAAUUGACGGAAGGGCACACAACGAAGUGGAGCUUGCGGCUUAAUUUGACUCAACACGGGAACAACUUACCAGGUCCGAACUUAUGUAGGUAAGACAGAUUGAGAGCUCUUUCUCAAACUUAAGGGUAGUGGUGCAUGGCCGUUCUUAGUUCGUGGAUCGAUUUGUCUGGUUAAUUCCGAUAACGAACGUGACUCAGUCUAGCUAACUAGAACGCUGUCAGCCGUGUUAGCCGGCCCUCGCGGGCCGGCGCACCUGACGUUACAGCCGGCAGCGCCGCGCGGUCUCCGGGCCGCGCGGCCCCCUGCCUGGCUCCGUUUGCCCUGCUUAGCGGGACAACUUGUGUUUAGCAAGAUGAGAUUGAGCGAUAACAGGUCCGUGAUGCCCUUAGAUGUUCUGGGCUGCACGCGUGCUACAAUGUGGGCAGCAGCGUGUUCUCGUCUUCGGGCGCCCCCAUUCCGAGAGGAACGGGAAAUCACUCAAAUGCUCAUUUAGUUGGGACUGGGGACUGCAAAGGUCCCCACGAACCUGGAAUUUCUAGUAAGUGCUAGUCAUCAGCUAGCGCUGAUUACGUCCCUGCCCUUUGUACACACCGCCCGUCGCUACUACCGAUGGAUUCUUUAGUGAGGUCUCUGGAGGCACGCCUUCCGCGAUUCCACCGCGAGUUGCAGUCGGACCGGCCGAAGUUGACCGAACUUGAUGAUUUAGAGGAAGUAAAAGUCGUAACAAGUUUCC
This 1983-nucleotide ribosomal RNA is filed under the name Anopheles torresiensis. Its description in RNAcentral is "SSU rRNA". It matches the Rfam family "Eukaryotic small subunit ribosomal RNA". The record is from RNAcentral. Lineage: Eukaryota; Metazoa; Arthropoda; Insecta; Diptera; Culicidae.